AACGAACGCUGGCGGCAUGCCUAACACAUGCAAGUCGAACGAGACCUUCGGGUCUAGUGGCGCACGGGUGCGUAACGCGUGGGAACCUGCCCUUAGGUUCGGAAUAACUCCCCGAAAGGGGUGCUAAUACCGGAUAAUGUCUUCGGACCAAAGAUUUAUCGCCUUUGGAUGGGCCCGCGUUGGAUUAGCUAGUUGAUAGGGUAAAAGCCUACCAAGGCGACGAUCCAUAGCUGGUCUGAGAGGAUGAUCAGCCACACUGGGACUGAGACACGGCCCAGACUCCUACGGGAGGCGGCAGUGGGGAAUAUUGGACAAUGGGCGAAAGCCUGAUCCAGCAAUGCCGCGUGAGUGAUGAAGGCCUUAGGGUUGUAAAGCUCUUUUACCCGGGAUGAUAAUGACAGUACCGGGAGAAUAAGCUCCGGCUAACUCCGUG
RNAcentral lists this ribosomal RNA (433 nucleotides) under uncultured bacterium. RNAcentral describes it as "partial 16S ribosomal RNA". It matches the Rfam family "Bacterial small subunit ribosomal RNA", at positions 29 to 507 of the family's 1533-position model. The record is from RNAcentral.